Molecule: ribosomal RNA, 1488 nt
Filed under: uncultured Bordetella sp.
Lineage: Bacteria; Pseudomonadati; Pseudomonadota; Betaproteobacteria; Burkholderiales; Alcaligenaceae
Description: partial 16S-23S ribosomal RNA intergenic spacer
Source: RNAcentral
GUUCAGAUACAUGUUACUCCUGGAGCAUCAAGUGUGCUCAGAGGUUACCUUGUUACGACUUCACCCCAGUCAUAGAUCUCAUGCGUGUCCUUUUCACUAUACGGUUAAGCUAACUACUUCUGGUAAAACCCCCUCCCAUGGUGUAGCGACAAACAGGUGUGCCUACGAGCCACAGAACGUAUUCACCGCGACAUACUGAUCCACACGCGAUUACUGGUUGACUUAAAGUCGAGUUGCAGACUGCCGAUCCGGACUACGAUCGGGACUCUGGGAUUGGCUCACCUCCGGGUUGGCGACCUCUGUCCCGACAAACUAUCUCGUACAUCUUGACCCUACCCAUAAGGGCCAUGAGGACUUGACGUCAUCUACCACGCCUGGUUUAUGCAGCAAUCAUUAGAGUGCCCUUUCGCUCCUUAAUAAAGGUUUGCGCUCGUUGCGGGACUUAACCCAACAUCUCGACACGAGCUGACGACAGCCAUGCGGCACCUGUGUUCCGGUUCUCUUGCGAGCACUCCCAAAUCUUCCAGGGAUUCCAGACAUGUCAGGUAGUCGGGACUUUGUUGCAUCGAAUUAAUCAUCCACAGCGUGGGUCCCAAUCAAUUCGCACAGGUUUAAUCUUGACCAAUGGCAACCCCAGGCGGUCGCUUCAUGAUUAACUACUUUAAAUAAAGGCCCCAACGGCUAGUGUGACAUCGUUUAGGGCGUGGACUGCAAGUUAUCUAAUCUGUUUGCUCCCCACGCUUUCGUGCAUGAGCGUCAGUGUUGUCCCCCAGAGGCUACCUUAUAUCAGUGUUCCUCGCAUAUCUACGCAUUUCACUGCUGCAUGAAAUUCCGCACUCCUCUGGCUCCCUCUAAACUCGGUGGUCAAAAACCGGAUCAAAGUUGAAAUGCUGGGAUUUACAUCUCUUCCGAGCUUCCGCCUACACACCCUUGCCUUACCAGCGGGCUCGGACCGCUGCCACCGCCGUAUUACCCGCGGCUGCUUUUGGCGUAGUUGCCAGUGCUUAUUCUACGGGUACCGUCAGUUGCACGGGGUAUCCUCCCGAUACCAUUCUUUCCUACAAAAGUGCCCUGGCAAAGGUAUUCCAACACUUAUGAGAUAAGCGCUGGAUCAGUUUCUGACGACUCAAAAUUGCCCCUGCUGCCUCGGCGCCGGAAGUCUGGUGAGCCGUCAUCUCAGUCCCAGAUGUGGCUGGUCGUCCUCUCAAACCAGCUACGGAUCGUCGCGCCUUGGUGAGCCGUUACCCCACCAACUAGCUAAUCCGAUAUCAGCCCCGCUCUAAUAAAUUGCGAGGCCCGAAGGUCCCCCGCUUUCCCCGAAGGGCGUAUGCGGUAUUAGCUACGCUCGCAUGGGUGUCUACCGCUACUGAGCACGAUUCGAUACGGCUACUCACCGGUCCAACCACUCCUUCACCAGAGCCGAAGUCCGUGCGCCGUUCGACUGCAUGUGCCGGCAUCCAUAAAGCGUUAAAUCAAACAGGAUCAACC